This 468-nucleotide ribosomal RNA is filed under the name uncultured bacterium. RNAcentral describes it as "partial 16S ribosomal RNA". It matches the Rfam family "Bacterial small subunit ribosomal RNA", at positions 28 to 507 of the family's 1533-position model. The record is from RNAcentral.
GACGAACGCUGGCGGCGUGCUUAACACAUGCAAGUCGAACGGAAAGGCCCUGCUUUUGUGGGGUGCUCGAGUGGCGAACGGGUGAGUAACACGUGAGUAACCUGCCCUUGACUUUGGGAUAACUUCAGGAAACUGGGGCUAAUACCGGAUAGGAGCUCCUGCUGCAUGAUGGGGGUUGGAAAGUUUCGGCGCUUGGGGAUGGACUCGCGGCUUAUCAGCUUGUUGGUGGGGUAGUGGCUUACCAAGGCUUUGACGGGUAGCCGGCCUGAGAGGGUGACCGGCCACAUUGGGACUGAGAUACGGCCCAGACUCCUACGGGAGGCAGCAGUGGGGAAUAUUGCACAAUGGGCGGAAGCCUGAUGCAGCAACGCCGCGUGCGGGAUGACGGCCUUCGGGUUGUAAACCGCUUUCGCCUGUGACGAAGCGUGAGUGACGGUAAUGGGUAAAGAAGCACCGGCUAACUACGUG